RNAcentral lists this ribosomal RNA (987 nucleotides) under Triticum aestivum (bread wheat). RNAcentral's name for it is "partial small subunit ribosomal RNA". Lineage: Eukaryota; Viridiplantae; Streptophyta; Magnoliopsida; Poales; Poaceae. The record is from RNAcentral.
AUGUAUGAACCAAAGCCAUUUUCGAGCACUGGAUCAGCGCACAGCAAUCCGGUUUCUCACGAUCAACAAAUCGGACCAACUGCCAACAAUGCAGCAUCUAAUAUUGGUGGAAAUGGCUCAAACAACAGCUUUGCCACCAGACAGCGUUUACGGUGGACAGAUGAGCUUCAUGGACGUUUUCUUGAGGCUGUAGCACAGCUUGGUGGACCCGACAGGGCUACUCCUAAGGGAAUUCUUAGAACAAUGGGUGUUCAAGGGUUGACCAUUUAUCAUGUCAAAAGUCAUCUCCAGAAAUAUCGGCUUGCAAAAUACAUCCCAGACCCCACAGCUAGCGGUGACAAGCCAGAGAAGAAAGAUCUAGGAAAUCUGCUUGCAGGAAUGGAAAACUCCCCGGGAAUGGAGACAAGCGAGGUUCUAAAGUUGCAGGUGGAGGUACAGAAGCGGCUACGUGAACAAUUAGAGGUACAAAGGCAGCUACAGCUCAGAAUAGAAGCCCAAGGCAAGUAUCUCCAGAAGAUCAUGGAGGAGCAGCAGCGCCUGAGCGGUGUGCUGUGCGAAUCAGGUAAACCGAACGCGCUCGCCCUGGCUGAGGAGGAGCUCCACCAUGAUUUCAGCAAGACUGAGCCAUCGACCCCAGUGUUGACCUCGGAGCCCUCAUUCCGGGACAAGGCCGUUACUGCAAGUGGUGGUCUGGAAGGAACAGACGAGCUGCUCAAGGUUCUUUCUUCACAUGAUGACUGCCUCUCCUUGGACCAUGAGCUUUCGACCCCGGAUUCCAGUUGUGUUGCCGGUUACCUCCUAAACAGCCCCAGAGAUAGCAAGAGGGCUUGCAUCAGCAACAGCCUUGGCCACGGAAACAGCGAGUUCACACUUCCUCACAUCAUUCCGGAGUCGAGCUCGGGUUCCGAUUUGCAACUGAGAAGCUCGGUGUUCUCAUACGGCACAGGGCGAUCUGGUUCAUCGGCGGCUCUGGAUGCCAGUGAAGAU